RNAcentral lists this long non-coding RNA (418 nucleotides) under Brassica rapa (field mustard). RNAcentral's name for it is "long non-coding RNA (BRAP_LNC007363)". The record is from RNAcentral. Lineage: Eukaryota; Viridiplantae; Streptophyta; Magnoliopsida; Brassicales; Brassicaceae.
UAUGUUUCUUUGUAAUCAUAUUUGUCUAUUCUGGAUCUUGAUCCGCAGGUUUUAUGUUAAUUUGUUUUUUUUUGUUUUUUCUGUAAAUAUGUAAAAUUUUCUGACCCGUCCUUUUAAAACACGGAUAUAUUUUCGGACCAUGACCCAUUGAUAUAUGUUGUGUUCAAGUUAAAUAGAUCAAGUUUCAUAACUAUACACUCGUGUCAUAUGUAUUUCGAAAAUUAUUUUAAAAAUUUAUUCAUAAAGUUUACAACAUAUUAUAUUUUUAUUAGGUUUUAUAUUAUUAUACCAGUUAUAGUUGCCCACAUUUUAUUACUAAACUUAAGCAGGUGUUUCGUAAAAAUAUAUAUAACUAUACACGGAGUAGAUAUCACCACUUUAAUUACAUCUUCGUAUAUAACUGCUUGUUGUGUUAAGG